GACGAACGCUGGCGGCGUGCCUAAUACAUGCAAGUAGAACGCUGAAGCGAGGAGCUUGCUCUUCUUGGAUGAGUUGCGAACGGGUGAGUAACGCGUAGGUAACCUGCCUUGUAGCGGGGGAUAACUAUUGGAAACGAUAGCUAAUACCGCAUAACAAUGGAUGACACAUGUCAUUUAUUUGAAAGGGGCAAUUGCUCCACUACAAGAUGGACCUGCGUUGUAUUAGCUAGUAGGUGAGGUAAUGGCUCACCUAGGCGACGAUACAUAGCCGACCUGAGAGGGUGAUCGGCCACACUGGGACUGAGACACGGCCCAGACUCCUACGGGAGGCAGCAGUAGGGAAUCCUCGGCAAUGGGGGCAACCCUGACCGAGCAACGCCGCGUGAGUGAAGAAGGUUUUCGGAUCGUAAAGCUCUGUUGUAAGUCAAGAACGGGUGUGAGAGUGGAAAGUUCACACUGUGACGGUAGCUUACCAGAAAGGGACGGCUAACUACGUG
This 497-nucleotide ribosomal RNA is filed under the name uncultured bacterium. Its description in RNAcentral is "partial 16S ribosomal RNA". It matches the Rfam family "Bacterial small subunit ribosomal RNA", at positions 28 to 507 of the family's 1533-position model. The record is from RNAcentral.